Molecule: long non-coding RNA, 123 nt
Organism: Myotis davidii
Lineage: Eukaryota; Metazoa; Chordata; Mammalia; Chiroptera; Vespertilionidae
Exons: 3
Source: RefSeq, a predicted model, not a curated record
AGGGAGCAAAGUGGCAGAGAAGGUAGAGAGCCCAGGUGGCACAGAAGGGAGGGAGUCGAGGGCUAAGUGAUGAAGAGAGGGAGUGAGGCAGCGGAGAAGGGAGCGAACCCUGCCCUGAUGGGC